This 701-nucleotide ribosomal RNA is filed under the name Bacteroidota bacterium. RNAcentral's name for it is "bacterial SSU rRNA". It matches the Rfam family "Bacterial small subunit ribosomal RNA", at positions 28 to 721 of the family's 1533-position model. The record is from RNAcentral. Lineage: Bacteria; Pseudomonadati; Bacteroidota.
GAUGAACGCUAGCGGCAGGCUUAAUACAUGCAAGUCGAGGGGCAGCACAGGUAGCAAUACUGGGUGGCGACCGGCAAACGGGUGCGGAACACGUACGCAACCUUCCCAAAACUGGUGAAUAGCCCUCCGAAAGGAGGAUUAAUACACCGUACCAUAGCGACGAGGCAUCUCGUUGCUAUUAUAGUAGCAAUACGGUUUUGGAUGGGCGUGCGCCUGAUUAGGUAGUUGGUGUGGGUAACGGCCCACCAAGCCUUCGAUCAGUAACUGGUGUGAGAGCACGACCAGUCACACGGGCACUGAGACACGGGCCCGACUCCUACGGGAGGCAGCAGUAAGGAAUAUUGGUCAAUGGACGCAAGUCUGAACCAGCCAUGCCGCGUGAAGGAUGACGGCCCUCUGGGUUGUAAACUUCUUUUAUCUGGGACGAAAAACGGGCUUUCUAGCUCACUUGACGGUACCAGAGGAAUAAGCACCGGCUAACUCCGUGCCAGCAGCCGCGGUAAUACGGAGGGUGCAAGCGUUAUCCGGAUUUACUGGGUUUAAAGGGUGCGUAGGUGGGUAGGUAAGUCAGUGGUGAAAUCUUCAAGCUUAACUUGGAAACUGCCAUUGAUACUAUUUAUCUUGAAUAUCCCGGAGGUAAGCGGAAUAUGUCAUGUAGCGGUGAAAUGCUUAGAUAUGACAUAGAACACCCAUUGCGAAGG